ACGCGUGGACAACCUGCCCUAUGCAGGGGGAUAACAUCCGGAAACGGGUGCUAAUACCGCAUAAGCGCACAGUACCGCAUGGUACGGUGUGAAAAGCUGAGGCGGCAUAGGAUGGGUCCGCGUUGGAUUAGGCAGUUGGCGGGGUAACGGCCCACCAAACCGACGAUCCAUAGCCGGCCUGAGAGGGUGGACGGCCACAUUGGGACUGAGACACGGCCCAG
This 221-nucleotide ribosomal RNA is filed under the name uncultured Bacillota bacterium. RNAcentral's name for it is "uncultured Firmicutes bacterium partial 16S ribosomal RNA". It matches the Rfam family "Bacterial small subunit ribosomal RNA", at positions 113 to 334 of the family's 1533-position model. Lineage: Bacteria; Bacillati; Bacillota. The record is from RNAcentral.